CAGCUGCCGCGGUAAUACCGGCGGCCCGAGUGGCGGUCACUAUUAUUGGGCUUAAAGCGUCCGUAGCCGGGUUGGGAAGUCCUCCGGGAAAUCUGGCCGCUUAACGGUCAGAAUGCCGGAGGAUACUCCCAGCCUAGGGAGCGGGAGAGGCCGAGGGUAUUCCCGGAGUAGGGGUGAAAUCCUAUAAUCCCGGGAGGACCACCUGUGGCGAAGGCGCUCGGCUGGAACGCGUCCGACGGUGAGGGACGAAGGCCAGGGGAGCAAACCGGAUUAGAUACCCGGGUAGUCCUGGCUGUAAACGAUGCGGACUUUGUGUCGGACAAGCUAUGAGCUUGUCCGGUGCCGGAGGGAAACCGUUAAGUCCGCCGCCUGGGGAGUACGGCCGCAAGGCUGAAACUUAAAGGAAUCGGCGGG
RNAcentral lists this ribosomal RNA (414 nucleotides) under uncultured microorganism. Its description in RNAcentral is "bacterial SSU rRNA". It matches the Rfam family "Archaeal small subunit ribosomal RNA", at positions 459 to 872 of the family's 1478-position model. The record is from RNAcentral.